AUAUUUCUUCUAACAUUAUCUGGCAAUUUUGUCAAGCAAUCCUUAAUUUUCAGCGAAAAAAAUGGCAGAUGAAGUUGUCCUUUUGGAUACCUAUGUAAGCGUGUUUGGGAUGAGGGUUAGGUUUGCGCUGGCCGAGAAAGGCAUAAAGUAUGAAUACAAGGAGCAGGAUUUGCUGAACAAAACCCCUCUUCUCCUACAAAUGAACCCAAUUCACAAGAAAAUUCCAGUCUUGAUUCACAAUGGAAAACCAAUAUGUGAAUCUCUCAUUAUUGUUCAGUACAUAGAUGAAGUUUGGAAGGACAACUCCCCUUUGAUGCCUUCUGAUCCUUGAUCCACAAUGGAAAACCAAUAUGUGAAACCCUUAUCAUUGUUCAGUACAUAGAUGAAGUUUGGAAGGACAAAUCCCCUUUAAUGCCCUCCGACCCUUAUGAGAGAGCUCAAGCUAGGUUUUGGGCUGAUUAUAUUGACAAAAAGGUAUGCAAAAUAUCACAAUAUAUAUGUUUUACUAUAGAUUCUAUGCUUUUAACGGUCUUUUAGAGAAUUUCUUUGUUUUAUUUUAUGUGAUGUUGGUCUUAGAUGGAUUUUUAAAUGGAGAAUUGUGGUCAGUGAGAAUUCAUACCCAACUUGUUUGGAACUGAAAUAUAGUUCUAAGUUAUUAUUUUUGGUCAAUUUUCAAGAUUUAUAUUUUACAAAAUGUCAAUGAAGAGAUAAGGAGUACCAAAUGGGCGAGCUAGACUAAACUAGGUAAAUUAAGUCGGGUUGAAUCAAUAAACAUACAAGGUAGUAAGAUAUUUGUCCGUCUAAAUUAAUUUUGAUUGCUAAAGACGGACAGAUCUAUUUGAGCUAAACAAUGGAUCAUAUGACCAAUCCCGACUCACCCAACUCAAAAUCAUUUUUUAUUUAUAUAUUUGCUCAUUUAUUUUUUUUUCGAUUAUCAAAUUAAACUACUUGAGUUUUUUUUAAUUUGUUUAUCGUGAAAAAAUCUAACCAAUCAAUUGAAAAACUUACUUUCCUAUGCUUUUUGAUAAGUUUUUCUUGUAAAGUCAAUAUGGUUAUACUGGCUGCCUAGAUCGGCCUAAGCUUUUGGACGAACUAACUUGAGUCAUGUUUAACUAACUUCCUAAUGAAAAUAUACAACCAGCCCAACUUAUCCACACUUGCGCACAUUGGAGGGAGGAAAAAAAUUAGAAACUGAUAAUUGAAUGAUAGCCACAAUUUCAAAAGUAAUCGAAAUAUAUCUCUUUUCAUGAGAAAGGUAAAAUCUGAACAAGAACAAUUUUAAAAUCCGAAAAAAUUUCAGCAUAAUAUGUUGGAGUUUGAAUUUUUUAAAUAUGAGAUUCAAACAAAAUGCUGAAUUUCCAACAUAAUAUGGUGUAAGUUUCUAUACAAGAACUCCAUAAUCCAGCAUAUUAUAUUGAAACUUAUGUGUUUCAGCUAGAAUAUUUUUGUUCAAAUUUUAUCUUCGGAUAAAAUAAUGGCUAUUGACUUUGCAGAGGCUAACUAUUUUUCAAUUAACGAUCCAAAAAUUGGCUAGCCAUGCUAUUUUCACCACAUUGAAGGUUGUAUUUUUAUGAGAUAAAUUUGGUAGAAAAAGAUAUAAUCUUCUUUUAUUAUUUAUGUAUUUUGGGCGAUUGCAGAUUUAUGAUGCUGGAAGGAAAAUUUGGACUACAAAAAAGGAGGAUCAAGAAGCAGCAAAUAAAGAAUUCAUAGAGUGCUGGAAGUUAUUGGAAGGGGAGUUAGGAGACAAGCCAUACUUUGGAGGGGAAAGUUUUGGGUUUGUGGAUAUGGCCCUUAUUCCUUACUACACAUGGUUUCCUGCUUAUGAGAAAUUUGGCAACUUUAACAUAGAAGCAGAGUGUCCUAAGAUUGUGGAAUGGGCAAAAAAAUGUAUGCAAAAGGAGAGUGUCUCAAAGUCUCUUGCUGAUCCGGACAAAGUCUAUAAUUUUAUUGUGAUGGUAAGAUGCUGGUUCCCUACUUAUGAGAAAUUUGGCAAUUUUAGCAUAGAGGCAGAGUGUCCUAAGAUUGUGGCAUGGGCUAAGAGGUGUAUGCAAAAGGAGAGUGUCUCAAAGUCUCUUGUUGACCCUGGCAAAGUCUAUGAUUUUGUUGUGAUGUUGAGAGAGAAGGCGGAUCUAGAGUGAGUUCUGCGUAAGAAAAAGUAUACAUAUAAUAAGAUCACAUAUAUUGUGAAUCCACUUAUUUAGCUUCUAAGUGUUUCAACCUGUUAGACAUCUAUUGUUUGUGUUGAUGAUAUGGAUUAUGCAGCAAGGAGUAAAAUGCUGUUUAUUACCUGGCAUUUUAUACAGUGAAUAAUGUAAGAUUUGCAGGUUUUACUUUGCUACUAAGAGACUACUCCUUUAUAUCUCUUGUCUUCUCCUCUCUUCAUCUAUUAGAACAUGCCAUUACUAUUUGAUAAUCUUCUGAUCACAUGAAGUGUUGCUAUGUUAUAAGAGAGCAGGUCUCAAGUGUUCAAUUAAAUUUUUGCUCUGCAUCUUGUCUAGGCAAACAUGAAAGUAACUCUGUAUGUUCUACCUUUAAUGAGGGAAGUUCAGGGAACAAAUUGCUUAGAAUAUGCAGCAGAAGAGUAAGUAGCCAUACCUUUCUUUACAUGAUCAUUUUUCAGUCUUCUGCAAUCGAAGUAGAAUUGUACUGAGUGUGUGGUUUGCUAGUUGCUGUCUAGAAGAAUAAAACCCUUACAACUGACUUUACAUGGAGUCAGAACAAAUGUUCGUUAAUAAAUAUGGUGAGAUAAUUCAAGAAUAUUUUGCUCUACAUGUGGGAUUAAGUGACCACUCAUCUCCGCUAGUAGCGGCGGAUCCAAGAUUUAAACUCUAUGGAUUCAACUUUUAAAGUUCUUAGUACCAUUAUAUAUGGUCAUAAUCAUAUGCUCCCGAUUUAUAGGCUCGAGAGUCCGUCCUAGGCAUGAGCCCGGACAUGGUCAGGUCCGAGACCAGUGAAUCAGACCGGAGCUCGAAGACAGAAUACAAUGUCAACGAGGAAUACCAGAGUCAAGUAUGCUCGACCCUGAAAUAGUACCGUUAUGGAUUUGUAACAGUAUGAGCUAGAUUCUCGCCAUGUCCCCGAAGUCAUGACGCAAAUCAUUGAAUAGGAUUGUACGAUUCCGUACUAGGCGGUUAGACAGCUGUACCAAGAAUAUUCCUUAUUUAGGGUUCCCCUAUUAUAUAAAGGGGACUGCAAUCAUUUGUAACAUCAUCUAAUCAUUAAGCAAAGAAUAUACUCUCGACUUUAUCGCCUACUGUUCAUUAGAACUAUCCUUAGCUCUACUGCUCUUACUUUACUUUCCUUGUCAAAUUAUUUUUAUUGUUCUAAACCCACCUCGAGAUUACUAAGCUCGAGGUCACUACUGCUAAGUAACGUUGGUUUGAUUCACUAUCCUUGUCUAGUUUGCUUUUACAUGUGAAAAGACCCAAGAUUUGAUUGGUUCCCGCGUGGGUUUAACUUUUUUACUGUUCUGUCAAAUGAAGGUAAUUUCUCACAAGUGUAACUUUGGAACUAUGAUGAAGUUAAAAAAGAUAUUUUGGCAUACUCCUAUUUUAAGUUACCUCCAGAUAAUCUUAGGAAUUGGGAUGUGUUAUAAAAGCCUUAGGGAACUUUGACCAUAAUUGCAUUUGGAAAGCACAAUGCCACGACAAACUGAAAACACACUUCUAUCUAUAUUUUUAUUUUAUUAUGAGUGAAGAAAAUCUUUGAAAAGCAAACCCAAUUCGUCGAGUUCAAUUGAAGAUGCAAUUAAUUAAUUUGUUUUCUUUCAAAUAUCUACUUCUUAAGCCGCCCUAUAUGACUAGUAUGUGUGGAUAGAAAUAAACGUCGGGUUCAUUAUCUACACACUAUUUUCAUAAAUCUUCUUGAUUUUGAUUGAUAGUUUUUACGACAAAUAAAAUUACCGUUUUGACUGCUUCUCAAAAUUCUUUUUGGUGGCCGUCACAACACUUUGAAAGUUCUCUUGCGUAUAAAAUCCGUAACAGUUUGUGCGUUACAAAUUUUAUUGGAGAGCUACUUUAUAAUCAUUUUGGUAGCACCGUUUUCAUCUUCACAUCUUACUUUUAACUUUCUUUAAAAAAAAUAAAAAUAAAAAUAAAAAUGAGUCACGUUAUAUUGCCACUUUUGAAGAGAGUACAUAUGGAGGAGGAUAUACCCUUGCCUUCUAUACCAGAAAAUAGAAUUGUGCAUACAAUUGGAAACAAAAGUAAUUAAUUGACAUAGCCAAAAACAUUAUAAUGUAAAUAACGCUGAUACUUCAAGGAGACUCAAAGACUAUGCCGAUUGGUUUUCUCUUCUUGACUCGAAUGAAGGAAGUUGCAAUCUGUCCGCAUUUAGAAGUCUGACUUCGCAUUGAAUCAAAAUUAGUGUAAGUGCAAUCAUCGACAGAGUUGUGGCUCAAUGAUGAUAGUGUAUUGGUGGGAAUUCGACCCUAACGAUAAUUGAUGAAUCAGACCCUGCUUUAAGUUAAUUCAUCAUUAACUAAUGGUAUGACCAUUAAUCAUUAAUAAUAUUUAAUCUUCAUUUGGUUCGACCGACAUGGCCACAGCCUGUCUACCGUCUUGAAGAAGGUACUCCGACGUGGUCACGACCAUUUUUAUCGCCAGCUCACCCAAUUUGCUGCUAUAAAUACUAAGAGAAAGAACCCUAGAAGGGGGCUGCUUCUUCUUCAUCACUAGUCUCAAGAAAAGAGAGAGCAUCAUUGUAAGGCUCUGAACCCCUCCAUAGAGGGGCAGACCGAAUCACUCCUAUCAAUAAAAGCUCUCUACACAUUUCUUCUUAAUGAAAAUACUCGCUUCUUAUUUCUUUCUUUUGGUCUUUUGAUUUAUUACGAUCUGCUAUGAUUGGCCCUCAACUUAUUUUGAUUGUUUUAGGCUUGCAAAGUGUAUGAUAACUUUGAGCUAAACAGAGUUAAGCGACGAAUAAUAUAAAUAUUCAUAUUGUCCAUGAUUAUCCAUGAUUUUUUUAAUAUGAGCACUUUUAGGAGAAUUCCUAAUCUCCCAAAUUUGAGGAAUCCCCAAUUUAAGGCUUUACAAAUAUAAAAGUUAAAUCGAUUGAUUAUCCAUUUUCUAAAUGAAUAAUAUGGUUCUUAUCCAUAUUUGAUCCGUUUUAAAAUAUUUUAUUAUGUAACUCAUUUUUAGUGGAUAUUAAUAUUAAUAAAUAAUUAUUUUUUAAAAUCAUUUUGCAACCACUAAUAGUAUGUAAGCCUUUCACAACUCUUGAAGAAUAAUUUGGCGUCGUCUGUGGGGAUUUCAAAGCAGAAUCGCGUAGUUCUUCCUUGGAUCAAAAGGAAAGAAAUGCCAGAAAAGCAACCCCGCUCGCAUAAGCCAGAGCAACAUGUUGGGUAAAAGGAAGAAGAAGUGCAAGAAGAAGAAGAAGUAAGCCCCCUCCCCAUGGGGAGAGCACAUAUAAGGUACCCUCACCUCCUCGGUACAGGACCCUGCCAAAAUAAAAAUGGCACAAAGGCAUCCCAAAUCGAGAUCCAUAACGGGGCAACCUUUACAAACUGGUCGAAAAAGCUACACACGAAUCGUGCGAGAUCUCAAAUCAAAGCCGAUCUCCGACGCCCUACACAUAACGAUUAUGUGGGAGGAAAAUUUCAACUACAAGUUAAACCGGGCCUCAAGCCAUGUGUCUUCUCUAUCAAAAAAUUACAAGAUUCAACUACAGUUGAACAACGACUCAGGCUGCCGAAAAGUUCAACUACAAGUUGAACCGGGACUCAGGCCAUAUUCCUUCUCCAUAAAAAAAUUACAAGAUUCAACUAUGGUUGAACAACGACUCAGGCUACGUGCCUUCACCGAAAAGUUCAACUAAGAGUUGAACCGGGACUCAGGCAAUGUGCCUUCGCCAUAAAAAAAUUACAAGAUUCAACUACGGUUGAACAACGAAUCAGGUUACGUGCUUUCACCAAAAAGCUCAACUACAAGUUGAACCGGGACUCAGGCCAUGUGCCUUCGCCAUAAAAUGAUUAAAAGAUUCAACUACAGUUGUACAACGACUCAGGCUACGUGCCUUCACCGAAAAGUUCUACUACAAGUUGAAUCGGGACUCAGGCCAUGUGCCUUUGCCAUAAAAAAAUUACAAGAUUCAACUAUGUUGAACAACGACUCAGGCUACGUGCCUUCACCGAAAAGUUCAACUACAAGUUGAACCAGGACUCAGGCCAUGUGCCUUUGCCAUAAAAAAAUUACAAGAUUCAACUACGGUUGAACAACGACUCAGGCUACGUGCCCUCACUGAAAAUUUUAACUACGAGUUGAACCGAGACUCAGGCCAUGUACCUUUACCAUAAAAAAAUUAUAAGAUUCAACUACGGUUGUCGAUACCCAUUUUUUCCCUACAUAUUUUUUAUAUAUACUCAAAUACUUUCAAAAUAGUAUAUGUAUUUAUAUAUAAGCACGCCCAAAGGUUUUGGUAUUUUUCUUCAAAUUUUGAAGGUUUUUUAGAAUUGAUUUAUUGUCUAUUUUUAACAGUACAAAAUCCAAAUUAUUCCCAGAUUAUCAUUUUUUUGGCGAAUAACGCAUGAAAUUGCAAUUUAUAUCUAUGUUACAAUUAACCACAUUUUAUAAUAAUAAAAUUAUUUUCGGCAUUUUUAGAUUAUAUUUUUAUUUUUUAAUUAGUUAUGUGUUUUCAAUUUAUUUUUUAAAUCAUUUCUUACUAUUUUAUAAAAUAAAAAGGGAAAAAUUGGCUAUUUAAAAUUUGGCUAGAUUUAAUUUCAAAUAUAGCCAAAAUUGACCCCAAUUUCAACCCAUCUCAAGUAACCCAUACCCAAAUCAAUUAACCCGGACCAACUUUAUUUCAAUCAGAGCCGUUGAUCAAUUGAGAUCAAUGGCCAAGAUUAGUUUACCUAAAAUAAAUCAAACAACCCCCCAAACCCUUCAUAUUCAGAUACCGGUAUCUCUCUCUCCCUAACCCUUCAGCUCCCCAUUCUCUCUAGAACCUUCUGGUUCGUCUUCUCCGAUGGCUCUUAUCGCCUCUCCGACCAACUCCAGCCUCGCCUCUUUCGAUCAUUAGCUGCCGUGAAACCUUAUCUGAUCGGCUCCCUCCAUACUUUUGAAACUCCAAGAGUUUCCACUAUGCAAGAAGAGCACUGAAGCCUCUCCUAGGUCCAUUUCCGGCCUUCUCUCCAACGAUUUUCAGUCCGAUGGUGCUAUGAACACCAUUAUUAACUAGUUUCACAGCCAGGUUCCCUACCUCACUGAUUCUAGAAUGGGUUGGAGAUUAUUACCGCAACGAAAAAUAGGCAGCAGAGAGAGGAAGGAAGGCUUUCUUUUCACUUGAAGAGACCGGAGAUUAUGGCAACUCGAGAUGGUCAGCUCAGAGAGGGAGGAGGGCAAAGCUGAUUCUGGAAUAUGUUGGAGUUGAUAGUAGAAGUUGAUAUCUAGACGUUGAAGCGAGGUGAGGCAUCGAAGACCUUCAGUCGGAAGUGAAUGGAGCUCAUCAUGGUCAAAUAAUAUAAGCUCAGAAAGAGACGAGGGAAUCCCUUCUUCCAACAGUGUCUGCAUUUGAAGUCCAUAGAAAUUCAAGAGAGGUGAGGCUUUUGAGAAUUUGGCUGCUUAAUGUUUUCAGAUUGGCUAUGCAAAGAGUUCGAAUAGAGCAAGGCAACUCCCAACCCGUAGUUAUAGUUUACUCGUAUACUUUAGGAGUUGUGUUAUUCAACAAUAACCUAAAUAUGCACUCUCUUCCGAGUUAUGCACAAUAAAUAGGCACAACUAAUUGAGGAUCUUGUCAAUUAACUAAACAAGAACAUAGUUGAAUAAAUAAAGUUUGAAACUAGCAAUUUGUAUUCACAUAAACAAGAAGUUCAUCUCCCAAUAGGUUCCAUCAAAAUCUUAGACAAGGGAUUUAACUACUCAUGGCUAUGGUUAAAAAACCUAAGAUAAGAUUCAUCAUAAACUAGCAAUAAAAAUCAAAGAAAAGAAGAAAGGUGUUGGUAUUCUCUCACAAUUGUUUUCCUUGCUAUGAAACACUAAAAAUCAAUACAUGCCUCCCAUGGGCGAAAUCUAUUGACUAAAAUAAGAUUUAGGGCUAAAAUCCCGUGUUGACACUUCUGUCCCUGAACUUUCUUGCGCCUACUGUGGUUCUGCCGCGGUAGCGGUAGAACCGCGGCCAAACAGUCCCUCUGAUUCUCAUUUUGUCCGCAACAACAUCUCACUGCGGUUGUGCCGCGGUCGUGAUGGAACUGCGGCAGUACACUUCCUCUGAUUCUUCAGCCUGUUUUUGGCGUGGUUCACUUAAGAAUUUUCACGGUUGGCCUCUUUUUCUUCAUUUUUGACUCCAAAAGUACUUUCGAGCCUUCCCUAGUCACAUAUAACCUUCAAAUCAUGAAAAAUACUCAUAAGAGCAUUUUGUUAUCACUUUAAUUACCAAAACUAUGCAAGAAGGUGGUUAUUUAGGGCUUGAAUAUAGUUGAAUUCACCUAUUAUCAUAUUUUAAAGAAAAUUUUAUAAAAAGUCUUACAAAUAUGUCUAAAGUACAUAAAGUAAAUAUAAAGUAUAUAUUUAUAUGUCGGUUUGGUUCGGGUUUUUUCAAAUCAAAUCAAACCUUGUCGGAUUUUUUAACUUGUUUGAUUUGACUUUUCGGUUGGUGCAGUUUUUCGAUUCGAUUUGUGUACCCUUAAUUUUAAAGUAGAACUUUUUGUAUCCCAACUUAAUUUACGUUGUAUAUGAAAAUAUUAUAUACAUAUAUAAUGCUACAUAUCAUUUUCGAGAACAUACUAUUCAAUCUUCCAUACAUAUAAAUACAAUUAAUGAAGCAGCGGCAAAUAACACCUAUAUAUUGAAAAAUCCGGAGCAGUUGGGAUAGAUGUUACAAAGCCCAAAGGGUUUCUGCGGGGCAAAUUUUGUUGGAGAGCUCUUGUAUAAUUAUUAUAUUAAUUUGCGACACUAUUUUCAACUAUAUAUCUUAUUUUUCUUCAUAACAAAUAUUUAACAACUACAUAAGCGAUUGGUAUAAAUAUUCAGGGUCUCAACUUUGCCACUUAACUACCAAUUCUUGUUAGUAAAAAUAAGCACGCUUUAGUUACUGUGUAAGUAUCAUAAAUCAAUGACACAUUUAAAAAGUAUACUCCAUAAGACUUAGGUUAAGUUUAGUUGGUAAAUAAAGUUAGCUCAAGUUAUUCUUAAUUAGGUAGCAACCUUUGAAUUAUCAAUCACAACAAACCGUAUAUACUUUUAGCCCGUUUGGCUUAGCUACAAAAAUCAGCCUAUUUUGAGAAGUAUUUUUUUCUUAAGUGCUUUUCUCAUAAGUACUUUUGGUAAGAAACAGUUUGUAUUUGAUUAAUUAAUUUAAAAAAUACUUUUGAGCAGCAAUUAAUAUUUGGUGAAGCUUUUAAAAAUAGCUUCUAAGUGUAUCUUUCUCAAAAGUGUUUUUCAAAAAAGUUGUUUUGGAGAUACGCUAGAUUUUUCUGUUUUUUCUCAAAAAUAUUUUUUUCCCUAAAAAUUUGGCCAAACAUUUCAAUUUUUUGAAAAUAAAAAUAAUGUUAUGAAAACAAAGUAAUUCUAGAAUUGAAAAGGCUUGGCCUAUAUGAAACAAAUCCAAAUGUAAAGCUAGAUUCUGACUAGAAUCCAGUUUUUUCUUCUAUUUUUUAAGUUGUAAAAGAAGAGACAAGAAUCCUCACAAGUGCAAUUUUCGACCACCAUAGAAGGGAAAGAAGUGUUAUACUUUUCUACUUUUAAGUUCUUAGCUUGUAUAUAUAUAGAAGCGUGGCAUCUUCGAAUAAAAAAUUAAGAAAAAUAUACAAAUUCAUCGCGAAAUCACUUACGUGUUUUUAUUAGUAUAUUCUUUUAAAAUUUCUCUAAUAACUCACCAUUCGUCGAGUUCAGUUCAAAGUGCACAUAAUUGUCCUUCUAUUAACUUUUUCUUUAGUCUAUUUAGCUAGUGGAGCAUCUUUAUGCAAAGACAUAAAGAUAAUUUUUCAUCUCGAUAUCAUCGAUGCAGUAUUUUCAUAUUUUUUGAUUUUGACUAAUUAUUUCUUUUAUGAUAAGUUUUACUAAUAAAUUUCUUAGUGAUAAUAAUAAGAAAGUAAUACGUAGUUAUAGGGGACUUGGUCCACACACGACAUCAGCUUAAUUUGGACCAACCUCUUGUUCCCUCCUAUAUAUAUUUGUACCAUCACUAUGGCUUAUCUUCAAUACAGAGCACAUAUUCUACUCUAAUAUUAUCUUGCAAUUCUGUUAAACAAUCCUUAAUUUUUCAGCAAAAAAAUGGCAGAUGAAGUUGUCCUUUUGGAUACCUAUGUAAGCAUGUUUGGGAUGAGAGUUAGGUUUGCCUUGGCUGAGAAAGGCAUACAGUAUGAAUACAAGGAGCAGGAUUUGCUGAACAAAACCCCUCUUCUCCUACAAAUGAACCCAAUUCACAAGAAAAUCCCAGUCUUGAUUCACAAUGGAAAACCAAUAUGUGAAUCUCUCAUUAUUGUUCAGUACAUAGAUGAAGUUUGGAAGGA
RNAcentral lists this long non-coding RNA (10444 nucleotides) under Nicotiana benthamiana. RNAcentral describes it as "long non-coding RNA (NBEN_LNC039931)". Lineage: Eukaryota; Viridiplantae; Streptophyta; Magnoliopsida; Solanales; Solanaceae. The record is from RNAcentral.